Small nuclear RNA from Dipodomys ordii (Ord's kangaroo rat), 102 nucleotides. The record is from Ensembl. Lineage: Eukaryota; Metazoa; Chordata; Mammalia; Rodentia; Heteromyidae.
UUGCUUUAGUAGCAUAUAUACUAAAAUUGAAAUGAUACAGAGGAGAUUAGCAUGGUCCCUGUGCAAGGUUGAUAACAAAUUUGUGAACCAUUACAUAAAAAG